CUUUUUAACAGAAGCCUUCCCUUCGGGGACUGAGGUGACAGGUGGUGCAUGGUUGUCGUCAGCUCGUGUCGUGAGAUGUUGGGUUAAGUCCCGCAACGAGCGCAACCCUUGUCUUUAGUUGCCAGCAUUAAGUUGGGCACUCUAGAGAGACUGCCGGGGAUAACUCGGAGGAAGGUGGGGAUGACGUCAAAUCAUCAUGCCCCUUAUGUUCAGGGCUACACACGUGCUACAAUGGCCGAUACAACGGGCAGCCAAGGAGUAAUCCGGAGCGAAUCCUAUAAAAUCGGUCCCAGUUCGAAUUGUGGGCUGAAACUCGCCCACAUGAAGUUGGAGUUGCUAGUAAUCGCGGAUCAGAAUGUCGCGGUGAAUGCGUUCCCGGGUCUUGUACACACCGCCCGUCACACCACGGGAGUUGGAAGCACCCGAAGCCAGCUAUCUAACCGUAAGGAGGAAGCUGUCGAAGGUGAAGCUAAUGACUGGGGUGAAGUCGUAACAAGGUAGCCGUAAAGGGC
RNAcentral lists this ribosomal RNA (512 nucleotides) under uncultured bacterium. RNAcentral's name for it is "bacterial SSU rRNA". It matches the Rfam family "Bacterial small subunit ribosomal RNA", at positions 998 to 1510 of the family's 1533-position model. The record is from RNAcentral.